RNAcentral lists this unclassified non-coding RNA (334 nucleotides) under soil metagenome. RNAcentral's name for it is "partial contains 5.8S ribosomal RNA, internal transcribed spacer 2, and large subunit ribosomal RNA". The stretch from base 1 to 120 matches the Rfam family "5.8S ribosomal RNA", at positions 35 to 154 of the family's 154-position model. The record is from RNAcentral.
GAUGAAGAACGUAGCGAAAUGCGAUAAGUAAUGUGAAUUGCAGAAUUCAGUGAAUCAUCGAAUCUUUGAACGCACAUUGCGCCCAUUAGUAUUCUAAUGGGCAUGCCUGUUCGAGCGUCAUUUCAACCAUCAAGCCCUGCUUGUGUUGGGGUCCUGCGGCUGCCCGCAGGCCCUGAAAACCAGUGGCGGGCUCGCUAGUCACACCGAGCGCAGUAGCACAUCUCGCUCAGGGCGUGCGGCGGGCUCCAGCCGUUAAAGCACCCACCUUUCGCAAGGUUGACCUCGGAUCAGGUAGGAAUACCCGCUGAACUUAAGCAUAUCAAUAAGCGGAGGA